AUUGAACGCUGGCGGCAGGCCUAACACAUGCAAGUCGAACGGUAACAGGAAGCAGCUUGCUGCUUCGCUGACGAGUGGCGGACGGGUGAGGAAUGUCUGGGAAACUGCCUGAUGGAGGGGGAUAACUACUGGAAACGGUAGCUAAUACCGCAUAACGUCGCAAGACCAAAGAGGGGGACCUUAGGGCCUCUUGCCAUCGGAUGUGCCCAGAUGGGAUUAGCUAGUAGGUGGGGUAACGGCUCACCUAGGCGACGAUCCCUAGCUGGUCUGAGAGGAUGACCAGCCACACUGGAACUGAGACACGGUCCAGACUCCUACGGGAGGCAGCAGUGGGGAAUAUUGCACAAUGGGCGCAAGCCUGAUGCAGCCAUGCCGCGUGUAUGAAGAAGGCCUUCGGGUUGUAAAGUACUUUCAGCGGGGAGGAAGGGAGUAAAGUUAAUACCUUUGCUCAUUGACGUUACCCGCAGAAGAAGCGCCGGCUAACUCCGUG
This 490-nucleotide ribosomal RNA is filed under the name uncultured bacterium. RNAcentral describes it as "partial 16S ribosomal RNA". It matches the Rfam family "Bacterial small subunit ribosomal RNA", at positions 30 to 507 of the family's 1533-position model. The record is from RNAcentral.